Molecule: unclassified non-coding RNA, 901 nt
Filed under: Hevea brasiliensis (rubber tree)
Lineage: Eukaryota; Viridiplantae; Streptophyta; Magnoliopsida; Malpighiales; Euphorbiaceae
Source: RNAcentral
UGAGAAAUAAGUACAAAUUCAUUCACUCCAAUAACAGCAAGUAAUCCAAGAACACAAGGACUACCUAUAGAAUUGUGGAAAAGUAGGGUGAGAGAACCAGAAAGGUCAGUUUCUCUAACCUUAAGGUUUGAACCACUAACAUUUUUCUAAAAAUAUUCAUGGGUAGACAGACAGACACUGUUUCAUUUUGCAAUCAAGAAUAACUCCACCUACCUCAACACUUCUAACCUCUAGUUCCCCUGUAUGAAUUAUCUUUUUAGCGUACCCCAUUCCACCAGAAAUUGUCCCCCAAAAUCGUAAUUGUGCACAAAGUUAAAUCCCUUAUACACAACCUAAGCAAGAGUAUAAAAGCUGAAAAUUAAAUAUAGCCUCAAAAUUGCUCUUCUAUGCUCACUUGCUGUCGGUGAAAUCAGCAUCAAUUACGUCAUUUCCAUCAGGUCCCUUCCCAGAUGAUGAUUCUGAAGGUCCAUCAGCACCGCCAGGUGCUGGACCAGCACCUGGUGCAGCACCAGGCUGGUUGUAGAGUGACUGACCAAGCUGCAUUACUUCUUGGUUAAGGGCAGCCAUAGCAUCCUUCAUGGUCUGAGUUGACCCUCCUGAGAUUGCUUCUUUAAGCUCUCCAAGUUUAGCCUCAACCUUUUCUUUCACUGGCCCUGGUACUUUGUCUCCAAGUUCCUUCAACUGCUUCUCUGUCUGGUAGACAACAGAAUCGGCCUGGUUCUUUGUGUCUAUGGCGUCUCUCUUCUCUUUGUCUUCCUGGGCAAAUCUUUCAGCUUCUUUAACCAUUCUCUCGACCUCAUCACCAGGCAAUGUGCUGGCACCUGUAAUGGUGAUGUCUUGCUUCUUCCCAGUACCCUUGUCAAUAGCAGUCACGGAAAGAAUACCAUUGGCAUCAAUGUCA